RNAcentral lists this non-coding RNA (23 nucleotides) under Arabidopsis thaliana (thale cress). The record is from RNAcentral. Lineage: Eukaryota; Viridiplantae; Streptophyta; Magnoliopsida; Brassicales; Brassicaceae.
CCGAAGAUGCAGAAUACGUACGG